This is a small nucleolar RNA of Kogia breviceps (pygmy sperm whale), 93 nucleotides long. RefSeq annotates it as small nucleolar RNA SNORD116. NCBI's taxonomy places the organism in Eukaryota, Metazoa, Chordata, Mammalia, Artiodactyla, Physeteridae. The record is from RefSeq and is a predicted model, not a curated record. The transcript has a single exon.
AGACCUAUGAUGACACCCUUGAAUGCAUUCGUUGGAAACUCUGAACAAAAUGAGUGAGAACGCUGUACCAUCUCCUCAUCAAAACGGAGGUCC